CCCUUAGAUGUUCUGGGCCGCACGCGCGCUACACUGACGAAUGCAACGAGCUUAUAACCUUGGCCGAAAGGUCUGGGUAAUCUCCAAAUUUCGUCGUGAUGGGGAUAGAUUAUUGCAAUUAUUAAUCUUCAACGAGGAAUGCCUAGUAAGCGCAAGUCAUCAGCUUGCGUUGAUUACGUCCCUGCCCUUUGUACACACCGCCCGUCGCUCCUACCGAUUGAAUGGUCCGGUGAAGCGUUCGGACCGUGGCCUUUGGACGGUUCGCCGUCUGUUGGCUGCGGGAAGUUCGUUAAACCUUAUCAUUUAGAGGNAGGAGNAGUCGUAAC
RNAcentral lists this ribosomal RNA (326 nucleotides) under uncultured eukaryote. RNAcentral's name for it is "partial 18S ribosomal RNA". It matches the Rfam family "Eukaryotic small subunit ribosomal RNA", at positions 1470 to 1795 of the family's 1831-position model. The record is from RNAcentral.